GCUCGCCUGGAGUCAAUGGUUGGAUACCCGAAGCCGGUCGAUCUAUGCCUGGGCAGGGUGAAGCCUUUCGGAAGAAGGGUGGAGGCCCGAACCAGUACUGAUGUGCAAAUCGUUUGGAUGACCUGGGUAUAGGGGCGAAAGACCAAUCUAGACCGGUAAUAGCUGGUUCCUCUCGAAACUGCUCGCAGGCAGACCUCAGCUGAGACGGGGCAUGCGGUAGAGCACUGAUUGCGUGUUUAGGAAGCGAAAGUUUUCGGCAUGCUGUCAAACUCCGAAUGUGUGUCCGUUGUAGAAGCUGGGCAGUGAGGGCAUCGGGGUAAGCUUGAUGUCCAUAAGGAAAACAAACCAGACCAAAGUUAAGGUCCCCAAGUAACAGCUAAGUGUUAAAGAACAAAUAGUGUUUGAAGGCAUAGACAGCUGGAAGGUUGGCUUAGAGGCAGCCAUCCUUUAAAGAGUUCGUAACAGAUCACCAGUCAAGUCUUUGAGCCUAGAAAAUGGACGGGACUAAGUUGUUCACCGAUACUUUGGGCCACCGAAAGGUGAUGCGGUAGAGAGGCGUCGUGCGCGGGUGGAAGUGGGGCCGUGAGGUCCUGUGGACCGCGUUCGAAUGAUAAUCAUGGAAAUAGUAGUAGCGUAGAUGGGUGAGAAUCCCAUCCGCCGGAGGGGCUAGGGUUCCUCGACGAUGUUCAUCAGUCGAGGGUUAGUCGGUCCUAAGGUUCCCCCUAACAGGAGGAAUCGAAAGGGAAGCAGGUUAAAAUUCCUGCACCAAUUCAUAUUUUGUCCAGUUCCUGACACAUCGGGUCUUGUGGAGCACUCCUGUCUGAGUGUUGCCUUAAGCAAUAAAAUUGUGGAGUACCGUAAUGGUGAGAAGCAAACUAAGCUUUUGGGAGGCGAAGUAUUUCGCUUCUGCGUUAGCCUGGUGUCCGUGAAAAGGGAGCUGGAGUCGUGUGAGUUGUCCGUACCGAGAUCUGACACAGGUGCCCCUAGGUGAGUAGCCUAAGGCGUCGCGGCAGAAUCCGGGCGAGGGAAUUCGGCAAAUUAGCCCCGUACCUUUGGUAUAAGGGGUGCCAGCUCUGAAGAGAGCUGGUCGCAGUGACUAGGGAGCUCCGACUGUUUACUAAAAACACAGGUGGCUGCUAGUCCGUAAGGAUGAGUAUAGCCGCUGAAUCCUGCCCAGUGGUGGUAUCUGAAACCCAGUUUCAACUGGACGAAGGACCACUAAACGGCGGGGGUAACUAUGACCCUCUUAAGGUAGCGUAAUACCUUGUCGCUUAAUUGGCGACUUGCACGAACGGCCUAACGAGAGCUCUACUGUCCCCGCCCGGAGCCCGAUGAAAUUGACUUACUGGCGCACAGUCCAGUACGUCCCAGCCGCAAGCGAAGACCCCGUGGAGCUUUACUGCAACCUGCCGUUGUGGCACGAGUUGUUAUGUGUAGAGUAGACGGGAGACAUUACACAGGUGCGAGCGCUAGCUCGUCGCCGAGUCACCGAUGAAACACCGUCCUUUUCGAUUCGUCCCACUCACCUCUUCGGAGGAACCCCGGUAGGCGGGCAGUUUGGGUGGGGCGCCACUCCCUCGAAAAAAUAACAAGGGAGCCCAAAGGUCAGCUUAGGUAGGUCAGGAAUCUACCGUUAAGUGCAAGGGCAAAAGCUGGCUUGACGUGGUUUGGCAACACAACAAACCACGAUGCGAAAGCAGGGCCUAGCGAACCAACCAGCGCCGUUAGUAGGUGCGGUUGAUAACAGAAAAGUUACCCCGGGGAUAACUGAGUUGUCUGGAGCAAGAGCCCACAUCGACCUCCAGGCUUGCUACUUCGAUGUCGUCUCUUCCUAUCCUGGGUGUGCAGAAGCACCCAAGGGUGGGGUUGUUCGCCCAUUAAAAGGGAUCGUGAGAUGGGUUUAGACCGUCGUGAGACAGGUUUGUUGCU
This 1929-nucleotide ribosomal RNA is filed under the name marine metagenome. Its description in RNAcentral is "bacterial LSU rRNA". It matches the Rfam family "Archaeal large subunit ribosomal RNA", at positions 764 to 2708 of the family's 2987-position model. The record is from RNAcentral.